This 406-nucleotide ribosomal RNA is filed under the name Lasiodiplodia pseudotheobromae. RNAcentral's name for it is "eukaryotic LSU rRNA". The stretch from base 74 to 227 matches the Rfam family "5.8S ribosomal RNA". Lineage: Eukaryota; Fungi; Ascomycota; Dothideomycetes; Botryosphaeriales; Botryosphaeriaceae. The record is from RNAcentral.
GCUCCGGCCGCCAAAGGACCUCCAAACUCCAGUCAGUAAACGCAGACGUCUGAUAAACAAGUUAAUAAACUAAAACUUUCAACAACGGAUCUCUUGGUUCUGGCAUCGAUGAAGAACGCAGCGAAAUGCGAUAAGUAAUGUGAAUUGCAGAAUUCAGUGAAUCAUCGAAUCUUUGAACGCACAUUGCGCCCCUUGGUAUUCCGGGGGGCAUGCCUGUUCGAGCGUCAUUACAACCCUCAAGCUCUGCUUGGAAUUGGGCACCGUCCUCACUGCGGACGCGCCUCAAAGACCUCGGCGGUGGCUGUUCAGCCCUCAAGCGUAGUAGAAUACACCUCGCUUUGGAGUGGUUGGCGUCGCCCGCCGGACGAACCUUCUGAACUUUUCUCAAGGUUGACCUCGGAUCAGG